AGAGUUUGAUCCUGGCUCAGGAUGAACGCCGGCGGUGUGCCUAAUACAUGCAAGUCGUACGCACUGGCCCAACUGAUUGAUGGUGCUUGCACCUGAUUGACGAUGGAUCACCAGUGAGUGGCGGACGGGUGAGUAACACGUAGGUAACCUGCCCCGGAGCGGGGGAUAACAUUUGGAAACAGAUGCUAAUACCGCAUAACAACAAAAGCCACAUGGCUUUUGUUUGAAAGAUGGCCUUGGCUAUCACUCUGGGAUGGACCUGCGGUGCAUUAGCUAGUUGGUAAGGUAACGGCUUACCAAGGCGAUGAUGCAUAGCCGAGUUGAGAGACUGAUCGGCCACAAUGGAACUGAGACACGGUCCAUACUCCUACGGGAGGCAGCAGUAGGGAAUCUUCCACAAUGGGCGCAAGCCUGAUGGAGCAACACCGCGUGAGUGAAGAAGGGUUUCGGCUCGUAAAGCUCUGUUGUUGGAGAAGAACGUGCGUGAGAGUAACUGUUCACGCAGUGACGGUAUCCAACCAGAAAGUCACGGCUAACUACGUGCCAGCAGCCGCGGUAAUACGUAGGUGGCAAGCGUUAUCCGGAUUUAUUGGGCGUAAAGCGAGCGCAGGCGGUUGCUUAGGUCUGAUGUGAAAGCCUUCGGCUUAACCGAAGAAGUGCAUCGGAAACCGGGCGACUUGAGUGCAGAAGAGGACAGUGGAACUCCAUGUGUAGCGGUGGAAUGCGUAGAUAUAUGGAAGAACACCAGUGGCGAAGGCGGCUGUCUGGUAUGCAACUGACGCUGAGGCUCGAAAGCAUGGGUAGCGAACAGGAUUAGAUACCCUGGUAGUCCAUACCGUAAACGAUGAGUGCUAGGUGUUGGAGGGUUUCCGCCCUUCAGUGCCGGAGCUAACGCAUUAAGCACUCCGCCUGGGGAGUACGACCGCAAGGUUGAAACUCAAAGGAAUUGACGGGGGCCCGCACAAGCGGUGGAGCAUGUGGUUUAAUUCGAAGCUACGCGAAGAACCUUACCAGGUCUUGACAUCUUGCGCUAACCUUAGAGAUAAGGCGUUCCCUUCGGGGACGCAAUGACAGGUGGUGCAUGGUCGUCGUCAGCUCGUGUCGUGAGAUGUUGGGUUAAGUCCCGCAACGAGCGCAACCCUUAUCCUCAGUAGCCAGCAUUACGGAUGGGAACUCUGGGGAGACUGCCGGAGACAAUCCGGAGGAAGGUGGGGAUGACGUCAAAUCAUCAUGCCCCUUAUGACUUGGGCUACACACGUGCUACAAUGGUGGUAACAAAGUGAAGCGACCCCGUGAGGGUGAGCCAACCACAGAAAAGCCAUCUCAGUUCGGAUUGUAGUCUGCAACCCGACUACAUGAAGCUGGAAUCGCUAGUAAUCGCAGAUCAGAAUGCUGCGGUGAAUACGUUCCCGGGUCUUGUACUCACCGCCCGUCA
This 1435-nucleotide ribosomal RNA is filed under the name uncultured bacterium. Its description in RNAcentral is "bacterial SSU rRNA". It matches the Rfam family "Bacterial small subunit ribosomal RNA". The record is from RNAcentral.